GAUAAAGAGAGGAAUUAAACCCCUAUUAGUGGGUCUACAGCCCACCACCUAACAUUCGGCCACCUUA
RNAcentral lists this transfer RNA (67 nucleotides) under Anolis chlorocyanus (Northern Hispaniolan green anole). Its description in RNAcentral is "tRNA-Tyr". The record is from RNAcentral. Lineage: Eukaryota; Metazoa; Chordata; Lepidosauria; Squamata; Anolidae.